Molecule: small nuclear RNA, 160 nt
Filed under: Chelydra serpentina (North American snapping turtle)
Lineage: Eukaryota; Metazoa; Chordata; Testudines; Chelydridae
Description: U2 spliceosomal RNA (ENSCSRG00000013546.1)
Rfam family: U2 spliceosomal RNA
About the family: U2 is a small nuclear RNA (snRNA) component of the spliceosome (involved in pre-mRNA splicing).
Source: Rfam by way of RNAcentral
AUCGCUUCUCGGCCUUAUGGCUAAGAUCAAGCGUAGUAUUUGUUUAGGCCAGAUGAAUAAAAUUACAAUUCACAAAAUAACUGUCCAAUGUAGUAAAAUAAGCCCUAUCUGGCCUUGUGUCCUAACCCAAUGCAUACAUUUUCAUAGACUGUGUCCCUUU